GGGAGCGCGCGCUGUGUGACAGCUCAAAGCAGUCCACGUCAACAGAGAGUGAGCGCAGCGGCGGCAGCGAUGGACUCCGCUUCCCUGGAACCUUCUCUCUAUACAGUAAAAGCUGUUUUUAUUCUGGAUAAUGAUGGCAACAGACUUCUAUCGAAGUACUAUGACCCUGAACUUUACCCCACCAUGAAGGAGCAGAAGAACUUUGAGAGCAACGUCUUCAGCAAAACCCACAAAGCAGACAAUGAAAUAGCGUUCCUGGAGGGGAUGACCAUCGUCUAUAAGAGCAGCAUAGAUCUUUUUUUCUACGUGGUGGGAAGUGCUCAGGAAAAUGAGCUGAUGCUGAUGUCCGUCCUCAACUGUCUGUUUGAUUCCCUCACUCACAUCCUGAGAAAGAAUGUGGAGCGGAGGUGUUUGCUGGACAACAUGGAAGGAGUUUUCCUCGUAGUGGAUGAAAUCAUUGAUGGAGGGGUGAUUUUGGAGAGUGACCCCCAACAGGUCCUACAGAAGGUCAACUACAGGCAUAUGGCUGAGCCAGCCUAUGGCUUCGUCCUGUUUGAUUACAUCACCGGUAACCUAGAGGCACAAACAGACAGGAGCCAGCUGCUGUAGACAGUCAGACAAACCCAGGGCGGACGACAACCCAUUAACCGAGCAAAGCGUUGCCCAGGUUCUUCAGUCAGCGAAGGAGCAGAUAAAAUGGUCCAUCCUAAAAUGACAUGGGAAGAAGAAAAAUAAAAUCAAUGAAAGAAAUGUUGGAUAUCUCUAAGCUAUUUUCCUAGAUCCAGGUCAUCAGCUGACAGUCUGACAGAAAAGGGCUCAGUAAAAUAGUUUGUUUUUUUUUAUUUUAUUUUUUUCUGAUGGUGAUUCGUUACAUUUGUUUAAAGUGUAUUUAAUUGGUUUUAUUGUAUUUUUUGUCUAAUUGAUGGAUGUAUAGAGUGGAAAUGUAGCAAGCCAAACGGUGCUGCAGGUUCUUAAAGGGACACCCAGGAAAUGAUCCAGUGCCUGAUCAGUCAGCAGAAAGGUUGAAAUAUGAAAAGAAAACGUUUUAACUGAUAUUUUCAACCAAAUAUCCCAUAUUUAAUGGUGCUUUCUUCUCUUUAAAUCAUGUUUUAUUCACCGUCUCACAAACAUAUCUGCUGUAGCUUCAAAGGGAUAAAAAAAAAACAAUGAGGGGAAAAAAAAUCAAAUAUGCUUUAAAGUGGUUUGAAAAUAUUUCAAACUAAAACGUUUUGCCUUUUUUCAGCAGGAAUUUGGACUUUAGGCCUAAAUAAACAGCAGCGACCUUUUCUACAGAGUUUGAAGGAUUAUUUACUUUGAAAUUUAAAGACACUAAGAGUAGCUUGGGUGGUUUUUAUUACAGAUGCACUGAAAACAAGAUGCAAAAACAUUCACUAGAUUUUAUUAUCAAGAAGAAAACAAAGAAGCUAAACCUGGAAAUGUUACAAAAUAUUGUCUGUUUUACUUUUCGUGAUAAACUCAGAUUGUUCGUAGAUAAUAAAUAUUUUCAUAGAUGAAAAUAAAUAAAAUGCCAAACAUGAUUUUUAUUGGAGGUGAUGUUACUGAAAGGAGCUGAUUUUAUCUGCUGUUGGUGAGACUCACAAUAAAAACGCUCAUACUGGUUUUA
Molecule: RNA transcript, 1624 nt
Organism: Cyprinodon tularosa
Lineage: Eukaryota; Metazoa; Chordata; Actinopteri; Cyprinodontiformes; Cyprinodontidae
Gene: copz2
Gene name: COPI coat complex subunit zeta 2
Exons: 10
Source: RefSeq, a predicted model, not a curated record